This is a long non-coding RNA of Osmerus eperlanus (European smelt), 531 nucleotides long. RefSeq lists it as uncharacterized. NCBI's taxonomy places the organism in Eukaryota, Metazoa, Chordata, Actinopteri, Osmeriformes, Osmeridae. The transcript is spliced from 5 exons. The record is from RefSeq and is a predicted model, not a curated record.
GGGUGUGCCGUUGUCUAGAGGACUAAGUCAAAGGCUGACACCUCAUGCUCCUGUGAUUCUUGGGACACAGGGUUGAAGGAUGCUGAAGAAAAGAAAACAGGGGAGAACAAGGGGGAGGAGAAACCCCCAGAGCAGCAUGAAGGGAGCUACAGGAGAGGGGACUAACCCCCAGAGAAGCAUGGAGGAAGAUACAGGUCCUCAGGAGGUGAUCUCUCAGUUAGAGAGGGUGUCUUUGAAGGAGGCAGAGUUACCAUCAGCCAGAGAGGAGGACCAGUCCAUCCAUGAGGGAGAUCAAGCCAUGGAGCCCAGGGUGGAUGAGGAGAGGCCAGUGUCACCAACACCCAGUUAUCUAUCAAUGAAGUCGAUGGACAAACUCAUUGAUGUAAAAAAAGGAGAUAGUACUCAAGAUAUUACUCAGAUCUUCACAGUUCAUCCUGCCAGAUCAGAACCACCAACUCCCAGUCAUUCAGCCAUGAGUGACUAUUCAAUGGAACUCCCUGUCAACUCCGAUGAUGGAGGUUUACCAAAGAU